ACUGGAAAGAAAUUAUUUAAUCUUGAGAAAAGUUUGUCUGUUGUCUUUCAAUCGAUCUCUCAUGGCAACUCAAGAUCGUGUCGUCUCUCAGUUGCAAUAUGCAACGAAAACCGAUCCGAUGAAUCAUUUCAGUUAUAUGCGAGUUCUGUAGGUCAGCUAAAAGUGCAGUUCAAUAUUCCCAUUACUCACUUCCCAUAUCGAAGAAGAACCAAUACGAGGCCACAAAGAUGUCUAGCUUCAGGGCGAGUCCAAAGCAGGCGAAUAGGAAAUCGGUGGGCUUUUCCCAUUUUCCACGAUCGAGGUCCGGGCUGAAGGGCUUCUGGCCCGUGCCAUAAGAUGUCUCAUAGACCAUGGCAGCCUUGGUUUGAUGUUUGCCAAUGUCUGGACCAAAGAUUUA
Molecule: long non-coding RNA, 397 nt
Organism: Drosophila miranda
Lineage: Eukaryota; Metazoa; Arthropoda; Insecta; Diptera; Drosophilidae
Exons: 2
Source: RefSeq, a predicted model, not a curated record